GCCUGGGUGGCUCAGUCAGUUGAGCAUCCGACUUGAGCUCAGAUCAUGAUCUGUCAGUGAGUUCAAGUCCUGCUCAGGCU
RNAcentral lists this transfer RNA (80 nucleotides) under Felis catus (domestic cat). It matches the Rfam family "tRNA". Rfam says of the family: Transfer RNA (tRNA) molecules are approximately 80 nucleotides in length. The record is from Rfam by way of RNAcentral. Lineage: Eukaryota; Metazoa; Chordata; Mammalia; Carnivora; Felidae.